RNAcentral lists this ribosomal RNA (305 nucleotides) under uncultured bacterium. RNAcentral describes it as "bacterial SSU rRNA". It matches the Rfam family "Bacterial small subunit ribosomal RNA", at positions 335 to 638 of the family's 1533-position model. The record is from RNAcentral.
UCCCUACGGGGGGCAGCAGUGAGGAAUAUUGGUCAAUGGGCGCGAGCCUGAACCAGCCAAGUCGCGUGAGGGAAGACGGUCCUAUGGAUUGUAAACCUCUUUUGUCGGGGAGCAAAAGACGCCACGCGUGGCGUUCCGAGAGUACCCGAAGAAAAAGCAUCGGCUAACUCCGUGCCAGCAGCCGCGGUAAUACGUAGGGGGCAAGCGUUAUCCGGAUUUACUGGGUGUAAAGGGAGCGUAGACGGCAUGGCAAGCCAGAUGUGAAAUACCGGGGCUCAACCCCGGGACUGCAUUUGGAGCUGUUA